This 462-nucleotide ribosomal RNA is filed under the name uncultured bacterium. Its description in RNAcentral is "partial 16S ribosomal RNA". It matches the Rfam family "Bacterial small subunit ribosomal RNA", at positions 28 to 507 of the family's 1533-position model. The record is from RNAcentral.
GACGAACGCUGGCGGCGUGCUUAACACAUGCAAGUCGAACGGAAAGGCCCUUCGGGGUACUCGAGUGGCGAACGGGUCAGUAACACGUGGGUGAUCUGCCCUGCACUUUGGGAUAAGCCUGGGAAACUGGGUCUAAUACCGAAUAGGACCACGCGCUUCAUGGUGUGUGGUGGAAAGCUUUUGCGGUGUGGGAUGGGCCCGCGGCCUAUCAGCUUGUUGGUGGGGUAAUGGCCUACCAAGGCGACGACGGGUAGCCGGCCUGAGAGGGUGACCGGACACACUGGGACUGAGAUACGGCCCAGACUCCUACGGGAGGCAGCAGUGGGGAAUAUUGCACAAUGGGCGCAAGCCUGAUGCAGCGACGCCGCGUGAGGGAUGACGGCCUUCGGGUUGUAAACCUCUUUCAAUAGGGACGAAGCGCAAGUGACGGUACCUAUAGAAGAAGCACCGGCCAACUACGUG